UGAAUACGAGAUGCUACGGCGUCGAAGCAGUCUAUGUCAUACUUCCAAGAAAAGCUUGCACUGUCAUAAACAAAUAAUGCCUGUACCAUAACCGACACAGGUGGGUAGGUAGAGUAUACUAAGGGGCGCGAGAUAACUCUCUCUAAGGAACUCGGCAAAAUGACUCCGUAACUUCGGGAGAAGGAGUGCCUUAUUUAUAAGGUUGCAAUAACAAGAUCCAAGCAACUGUUUACCAAAAACACAGGUCUCCGCUAAGUCGUAAGACGAUGUAUGGGGGCUGACGCCUGCCCAGUGCCAGAAGGUUAAAGAAGUUGGUUAGCAUCCGCGAAGCUGAUAACUGAAGCCCUGGUGAACGGCGGCCGUAACAAUAACGGUCCUAAGGUAGCGAAAUUCCUUGUCGGGUAAGUUCCGACCCGCACGAAAGGCGUAAUGAUUUGGAUACUGUCUCGGAGAGGGGCUCGGUGAAAUAGACUUGUCUGUGAAGAUGCGGACUACCUGCACCAGGACAGAAAGACCCUAUGAAGCUUUACUGUAACCUGAAAUUGAAAUUGGACUUUACUUGCGCAGUAUAGGUGGGAGGCGUUGAGAAUAUUCUUGCGGGAUUAUUGGAGCCAUCAGUGAGAUACCACUCUUGUAAUGUUAGAUUUCUAACUUUGUAUCAUUAUCUGGUCAAAGAACAGUUUCAGGCGGGCAGUUUGACUGGGGCGGUCGCCUCCUAAACGGUAACGGAGGCGCACAAAGGUUUCCUCUGAACGGGUAGAAAUCGUAUCUAGAGUGUAAAGGCAUAAGGAAGCUUGACUGUGAGACCUACAAGUCGAGCAGGGACGAAAGUCGGUCUUAGUGAUCUGACGGUGCUGAGUGGAAAGGCCGUCACUCAACGGAUAAAAGUUACUCUAAGGAUAACAGGCUGAUCUCCCCCAAGAGUUCACAUCGACGGGGAGGUUUGGCACCUCGAUGUCGGCUCAUCGCAUCCUGGGGCGGUAGUACGUCCCAAGGGUUGGGCUGUUCGCCCAUGAAAGCGGUACGCGAGCUGGGUUCAGAACGUCGUGAGACAGUUCGGUCCAUAUCCGGUGUAGGCGUUAGAAUAUUGAGAGGAGCCUUCUUUAGUACGAGAGGACCGAGAAGGACAUACCUCUGGUGUACCAGUUAUCGUGCCAACGGUAAACGCUGGGUAGCUAUGUGUGGAGUGGAUAACCGCUGAUAGCAUCUAAGUGGGAAGCCCACCUCAAGAUAAGUAUUCUCAC
RNAcentral lists this ribosomal RNA (1244 nucleotides) under metagenome. Its description in RNAcentral is "bacterial LSU rRNA". It matches the Rfam family "Bacterial large subunit ribosomal RNA", at positions 1564 to 2817 of the family's 2925-position model. The record is from RNAcentral.